AUUGGUCCAAACUCCAAUCAAAGAAUGGCACUCUCCAACCCCUCUCUCUUAUCUUCUUCCUGCUCUGUUUACAGACUCAAUCCACUUUUCUUUUCAUCCAAACGAUGUCGGUGCAUUGCUCUCUCCCACUCAAAUUUCGUCUAUCUCACGCGCAGGUUCUUCUCUACUACUGGCAAGCAAGCAACCUUACAUAACACCCCAAAAAGGACAAUUCAAAAGGUUAUCUUUUAUUACUGAAUAUUUUGAAUAUUAUUGUAAUUUCAGUUGCUACAGCUGAUAGUAGUGUAUUGACUUCGCCAGAAAUAGCAAAGUCGAUUGAUUUUAUAGCUGAGGAACAUAUAUAUUAUCACUAAAUGGUACUUAAGGAAGAAGAUGAUUGAAGGAAAAUGUGGAAGAAGUUUUUAUGUUCUUCUUGAGAGAAAAAUGUUUACAAUCAUAGUAUAUAUAGAUACAACACAAUACGUGCUCAACAAGCUCCCUAACAGAAUUGGAAAGAGAAAGAAUUUACAUAUUCUACAUACUUUCUCAACCGGCAUCUAUGGUAUAUUCUCUGUGCAAUUUUCUGUUCAUUUCACCUUCUAGAAUGCCUUGCUGGACAUGCUGAUUUGGUUUGUCCACGUUACAAUCCUGCUGAUAUGGUUUUUCCAUCUGGCAAUCCACGUUCGUUUCACUCUUCAACACCCCCCCGCAAGAAGGAGCGUGGAUGUCUUCAACUCCCAUCUUGGACAAAUGGGAGUAAAAAAUGUUUGAGCUCAAUGCCUUUGUCAUAAUGUCAGCAACUUGAUCAUUAGUCCUCAGAUGUUCUGUUACCACGCUUCCUUCUUGCACUUUAUCUCGAAUUAGAUGAUAGUCAAGUUCGAUGUGUUUCGUUCGCUCAUGAAAUACUGGAUUUGUAGCAAUAUGAAGCGCCGAUUUAUUAUCAAAAUAUACCAGUGUCGCUUGUGGGUGACAAACCGUUAGGUCUUUAAGCAAAAAUCGUAGCCAUGUUAGUUCACAUCAUGUAAUUUCCAUGGCUCUAUAUUCUGCGUCUGCAGAGAAUCUGGAAUCCGUGCCUUACUUCUUUGACUUCCAUGAAAUUAAAGAGGAUCCUAGAAAAAUACAGUAUCAUAUGAUGGACCUUCGAGUGUCUGGACAUGAGCCCCAAUCAGAGUCGCUGUAGGCUUGGAGUUGCAGUACUGAUGAAGAUGAAUACAUUAGUCCUUGUCCUGGGCUUCUUUUGAAAUAACGAAGUACUUUAUGUGCCGCAUUAAGAUGUGGAAUUCUGGGCUUAUCCAUGUACUGACUUAGGACCUGGACGGCAUAAGAUAUAUCAGGUCUAGUCACGGUUAGGUAGAGUAGUCUUCCAAUAAGCCUCCUUUACAUGGAUAGAACUUCAAGUAAUUCCCCUUGGUCUUUGGACAACUUGAUGUCUGGUCUAAGGGAACUCUUGCUAGUGUAGCCCCAAUUGUGCCUGAAUCUCCCAAUAUGUUUAAAGCGUAUUUUCUUUGGCAAACCAUGAUUCCUUCUUUUGACUUUGCUAUCUCAAUCCCAAGAAAGUAUUUCAAUACUCCCAAGUCCUUAAUCUUUGAUUCUUCAUUCAAUAGUUAUCUUAGAAUAUUGACAGAUUUCACGUCAUUGCUAGCCACAAUGAUAUCAUCCAUAUACACCAAGAUGGCAGUAAAUGACUUUCCUUGAAACUUAGUGAAUAAGCUGUAAUCAGCCUUUGACUGAACAAAUCCCAGGUUUGUAAUGAAGGUUGACAGCUUUGAAUACCAUUGGCGUGAAACUUGCUUCAAGCCAUAUAAACUUUGAGCAAUUUGCACACUUUUGGUCGAGAUGCCUUUGAGUAACCUGGUGGUAGUUCCAUAUAUACUUCUUCAUCUGAAUCCCCAUGUAAAAAUGCAUUAUUUGCAUCAAAUUGGUGUAGGAUCCAUUCUUUCAUGGCUGCCACCGCUAACAAAGUUCUGACAGUAACCAUCUUCGCAACCGAUGAAAAAGUUUCGUGGUAAUCUAGUCUUUCUUACUGGGUAUAUCCUUUGGCAACUAAUCAAGCCUUAUACCUCUCUACUGAUCCAUCCGAAUUGUAUUUGGUUUUGAAAACCCAUUUCCAUCCAAUGGUUGAUUUUCCAACCAGCAAAUCUGUGACAACCCAUGUGUGAUUUUGCUCAAGAGCAUCGAUUUCAUUUCGCAUAGCCUUGCACCAAUCUGGGGAUUCUAGUGCUUCACUAUAGUUCUGUGGUUCUAUAUGUGAUGUGAUAGAUGUAACAAAAGCUUUGUAUGCUUUGACAAUCUACGGUAACUAAUAGUUACUUCAAGUGUAAAAGGAUUACCUGAGGUUGGAUGAACCCUUUGCCCUUUUAAACUCUUGAACUUGGGUGGAUGGACUGGCUUGCGGCAUAUGAAAUUCUGCAAAUAUGAAGGUGUUUUUCUGAUUCUACUGGAUCAUCUUGGCAAAUGAGGGCUAGUAUUAGGUGUUAUGUUUUUGAUAGGCUUAAAGGACUUUGUGGUCUUGGUUCAGAUUCAUUUAUGGAGCUCAUAGGGCUUGAGUCAGCUGGUGAUGGUACAUCAAUGUUUGGUGUUAAAGUAUGAUUAUUUGGUGGUAUGUUAUCAAAGUUGAAAAUUCAGGGAACGUUCUACAACCACUUGAAAAUUCACAGGAAUACUUUACUAUGUCAAAUUCAAAUUUUAGCAUUACCAAGUUUACGUUCCAAUUUACCGUUUGACCUUACGUGCGGAAUUAAUACAAUUAAUUGUAACAAGUCACAAAUUAAUUUUUGUCUAGGUGAUUAAACGUACACGUCCAAUAAAGCCUAUGUUGAAUUGUCAGUUUGCGUAAAGUAAAUAAAACAAUAACAACACCAACUCACAAUAUGAUGACGGAAAAACCCCAACAUGGGUAAAACUCUGGGACCAAGCUAGUUGUUUCCACUAUACCAAUCCAGCCAGUACAAGUUAUGCCAAACUCUGUACCAAGUCAGACCCUCUGUUCCAGUCUCACGAUCUACUGCCGUAGCUAUUGCUAGUCUCUUGCUAGCUUCCUGAUCUACCUCCUACAGUCCAAUCUGCUGUCCAAUACAGCCUCCUGGUCUCUAGCUGAUUGUAUCACUAGGGUUGGCAACAGUUCGAUUAUGGGUUGGUUCGACCAAAAUCAUAACCGCACCACCAAUUUUUUGACAAUACCAUAACCACGUAAAUCGGUUCGGUUCGGUUAAUAACCACGAAAAUAAAUUAUUUUUUGUAAGUUCAUCCGUCAAAUUGAUAUAAAACAAUUUAUGAAAAAAAUCAAUGAAAACAAAAAUACAAUAUUCCAAAUGAAAAUGCAAACAUUAUCCCAAUUUUCAAUUGUAAAAUACAAAUUUAACAAACAAUAAUAUAAAUAUAACAAUACUAAACUUUUCCUUCAUUCUUAAUUGUUGUGCAUCGAAGUUACUUGAUUAAUUCUCCCCCACAAGUCUUACUAGCAUAGAUCAACACUCAAAGUUGAUUCCUAUAUAGUAAAUAAGAAAUGUAAGUAGAGAAUACAACGAUACUACUUAUUCCAGAAUGGUUUUAACUAAGAUUUAAAUAAAAAAAUGUACCUCUUCGUCAGCUUUCUUCUCGUUAAACGUUGCACAAGUUAUAGAGUAUGAUGAAGAAGUAGAAUUUUCUACACACAAUAGAAAAAAAUUAACAAUAAAAGGAGUUGUGCAUGAGUUUGUGAUUUGUGGAGAGUAGAGUUUGCAUUUAUAUACUGUCAUACUAAUAUUAUUAUUAUGGGCUAAUGGUAAGUGGGUUGGCCGGUUGAGUUAGGUAGAUGUAAUGGGGGGAUUUUGUUUUGGGCUAGAUAGAAAAGUAGUGUAAAGCCCAAUAAUCAAUUCAAUUUUUAUUUUUUUUUAACGGGUAAUCGGUUCGGUUUCGGUUCGAUGGCGUAAAUGCCAUACCCGCACCGCCACGAACUGGUUCAUUAAAGUAAAAACCAUAUCCACCCUAUUGCACCAUCGGUUCGGUUUUUUUGCCCCAUUCGGUUCGGUUAAUCGCUGUUUUCGAUUUUGACGGUUCAAAUUGUCAUCCCUAUGUAUUACCAAGUGGAAUUCCAAGAACCCCCUGUUCUUUUCCAGUUCCUGUGCUUGUCGUCCACCUCUCUCAAUCUCCCAAUAAGAGAGUCCCUUCCUCAACAGAUAAAGAAGUCCAGGUGUUUUAUCUUCACCAAUAGUGAUGUUUUCCCCAACAAUGGAUUGCCCGAAUCACAAGGUGUUUAAGGAUGAAUUCCUUGUUCAAUUCUGCCUUGGAUCACUUGAGAGAAUAUUGAAGAUGAUAGCUAUAUAAAGUACAAUAUGACAAUCUCUCUUUCACGUUCACGGACUUUGUAUUUAUAGUUGAGGGCAAUUAGGAGUCCUAGACCAUGUCAAACUUUUCAGAAAUCGAAAAUACAAUUUUUCAUAUAACACAGUCGCUAGAGCGAACAGCGAGCGACGCCACUUCGCUCGAGAGAACAUCGAGCGACGAGCGAGCGACGACCAUUAUGCUUCCUCUCGCAUAUAUAUAUAUAUACUUUUUUCUUUUAUGACGUGGGAACCCGCAACCGCUAUCCUUCAAGUCCAUACGAAGUAAACUCUCGGGUUGACGCAAUAGUCUGCAAACUACGCUCGUCAAGUAAAUCGCACUAGGCAAGCUCUGUGCGAUAGGCUCGGUCGAGAAAGUGUUAGUAGAGGGAAUCGAACUCGUGACCAAAGACUUCCGCGUUCACAAAAUUCAUCAACUCGACCACCCCAUGAGGGACAAUACACCCUGUAUAUUUCUUUCACCUUCAAGUUGUUGACAGCUUGGAACCAUAGUGCCAAAUUAGUCCCUUGUUUAGUCCAUAUUAAAUUAAAAUUUAUUUUUCUCUCUCAUAUUUUCAAUUACACAAUUUUUAUAAAAUAAUAUUACACGUAAAUCGAAAUUUUUUCCAUCCUUUUCAACUACUCGUUCUCCAAAACAAUAUUAUUCCUUCCAUUUUAAUUUAAAAAAAUGGGAGCCAAACGAGGGCGUAGACUCUAGGUAUUCCUUUCCAGUCGAGCCUCGUACAAAGUGGGGACCAAGCCGGGCCCAUGACCGUGACUGGUGGGGUCGUACCGGUAAAGAACUUAAGGGUUAAGGAAGUGCGGGAGAGUGGGUGUUGGAAAAAAUAAUAAGAAUAAAGGUGAGGACAGGAAUUUGUGGUGAUAUUGGGCAGAUAACAAAAGGCAUUGUACGGACCGGAAAACCUGGACAACCUGUGCGAUGGGUUUAAGCAUUGAUUCGUCGACUUAGUCUUCGGCUUUUUCCUUGAAAAGUAGAGCCCUUCCUUUUUUAUUGGGCUCACUUUUUGACUUACUUGGGAAUUAAUUUAUGUCAAGAGGAUAAAUUAAGGCUCCGUUUGGUACAUAUUAAUGUAAAAAUAAAAAUAAAAAAAUGAUCGUUACGGUUCCACACAAAAGAUAGAAAGUCAAAUACGAUGACUUGAUGUGAUGAAUAAUAAUUAUAUUUUUUAUUUUAAUAAACAAAUAAUAAAAAACAAACAGGAGCUAAAUUAUGAAUUUAAUAAAUAAUCGGCGCGUAAACUAUGAUAGGAGAGAAUGAAUAGUAAAAAGUAGUCUAAAAAAUAUUAAAGUGUUUCGAAACGUAGAGGCCAAGCUUUGGCAGCCUAAGCAAAGUCUAGGGGGGUAUCUGGAAGUUAUUUUUCAUUCUAAAAAAUUGAUUUUUUGACCAUCAUUUCACUAUUUCAGUCGUAAAGUUUGACUUCUUCUCUAACAAGUGGCCCCCGCUUAUCUUCUAACAGUCAAAAAAUUAAUUCUCAAAAUUGCUCCCAAACGGAGCCCUAGAUAUUAAAAAACCUAAAAAUAUAUUUUUAUUUUAAUAUUAUUUUAAAUCAAUCAAAAAAUUAUUUAAUAAUUAAAGAAAAAACAUAAAAAUGCAUUAAAUGCGUAAGAAAAGCACGACUAGGAGCGAAAAGAAUAAAAAUAAAUAAAAAGUGCGAGUUGAGGCAUUUUGCACUCGUUUCGUGCCUAGGUGUCGCUUUUAGAACACUUAUAAAAAGUAAUAUUAAAGAAAAUGGGCGAGUUCUUAAGCCUUUAAGCCGGUGCAAACGAAGGUUCAAAGCAAUAAUUUAGCCCUUGUUUGAUUUUCAUUACAUUACAUUACAUUCUAUUUUUCUCUCUCCUAUUUUCAACCACACAAUCUUCCAUAAAAUAAUAUUACACGUAAAUCGAAAAUUUUUCUUUCUUUUUCAACCACUCAUUUUUCAAAAAACACUAUUCUAUACAUUAAAUUUUCCCCGUAAUGGGGGCCAAACAGGGGCUUAAUCUCAUUUUCUUUUAACACUAUUCAUUAUUGACAAAUUAACAUGUUAUCGUUAAUGCUUUAAGAGAAAUUUUGAUCAAAAUUCAUCAAUAUCUUCUUUUUAAUUAUUUGCUCUUUUGUAGCACGAGCUCUCGGUUCGGUUUUUUUGCCCCAUUCGGUUCGGUUAAUCGCUGUUUUCGAUUUUGACGGUUCAAAUUGUCAUCCCUAUGUAUUACCAAGUGGAAUUCCAAGAACCCCCUGUUCUUUUCCAGUUCCUGUGCUUGUCGUCCACCUCUCUCAAUCUCCCAAUAAGAGAGUCCCUUCCUCAACAGAUAAAGAAGUCCAGGUGUUUUAUCUUCACCAAUAGUGAUGUUUUCCCCAACAAUGGAUUGCCCGAAUCACAAGGUGUUUAAGGAUGAAUUCCUUGUUCAAUUCUGCCUUGGAUCACUUGAGAGAAUAUUGAAGAUGAUAGCUAUAUAAAGUACAAUAUGACAAUCUCUCUUUCACGUUCACGGACUUUGUAUUUAUAGUUGAGGGCAAUUAGGAGUCCUAGACCAUGUCAAACUUUUCAGAAAUCGAAAAUACAAUUUUUCAUAUAACACAGUCGCUAGAGCGAACAGCGAGCGACGCCACUUCGCUCGAGAGAACAUCGAGCGACGAGCGAGCGACGACCAUUAUGCUUCCUCUCGCUCGAACGGUGGCAGGGCGAACAGCUAGUGAACUUUAGGCGUCGCGACCUUGAUUUGAACCAAACACUCAAACCCUAGUCCCUACCAUCUAGCUUUGUUAAAUUGCACCCUAAGUCUCUGACUUUUAUAACAUUGUACAAUUGAGUCCCUGACUUUUACAAAUUUACAAUUUAGUCCUUUUGUCCACAAAAUUGCCAAUUACACCUUUAGACCUAACAAACUCUCCCUUUGACAUUCUGUGACAAAACUCUACAAAUGAAGUCAGGACAAUAAAAAAUAAGUUAGGACUUGACAACCAAAAAUUAAAUUACCCAGUAAACCUAAUCACUGAGUCUUGCAUUCCUUCGUGUACCUGUUUCCUGAAAUCCACAAACUCAUAUACCCAAUGUAAAAGUACGUGAUACAAGAAAUAUAAAAAUUAGUUAAAACUCUUAAUCACAAGUCAACAUAACAGUUUGAGAUGUGAUAUUGAUACCAAUCAAAACACCAACCAAGACAUUAACACCACUAAAUAUCAAAACUCAAACAAAUGGAUGUGAUAUGGAAUGCAAUGCAACGCUCCCUCUUACUGUAAGCUUUCAUAUUUUUAUGCAGUAGGUAAAUGUAUCUAUGUCUCUCCCCAACGACCCCUAGACAUAGCAGUGCAAUGCAAGUGAUAACAAUCAAUGACGUCAUGUGCAUGCAUAUGCAGUCGCUCUCCUGUGUAUGCUCAAUUAUUUUUUUCUCCCCCUCAGUUACACAUUUCUCUCCCCCUUUUUGUCACAAAUGCUGAAGGGACAUACAUUAAGGCCAAGUCAAGCAAUAACACAUAAUAAUAAAAAAUGAAAUUGAUAGCAUGCAAAAGCAAAAUCAACAAGUAGUAUAACUCCCCACAUACUUAGUUCAGUCCAGAAUGAAGUAAUAAUAUAAGUGACUCAUGUGUGUAAAGUGUCACUCAUCCAAUGAAAGCAGGAUUCCAAACCUUAAUUUUGUGAGAAUGGAUAUGUCAAUCACUGCUAAUAAGUAUGUUCUCCUACUAAUGAGAGUCAAACCAUGUAACGCGUAGUAGGACCUAUACUUGUUAUUUUUACUUAUCUCCCCCUUACUAUGAGCUUAUUUAUUUUUCAAUUUUUCAAAGUAUUUCAACUCUUCAUAUUUUUCUCAUUUCUCCAGCUCAUUAAUUUUUCUUGUUAAGUGCAGGUUCUUCUACAUUAGGUGACUAAGAUGAUCCCUGUAGCGAGUUUUAGGUCGGUUAACCCAAGUCAGUUGACCAUAGGCACCAGGUUUUAAGAGACUCCGCAAGCUUAACUGCUCGAGUCAAAUAGACUCCGAAGAAGAACAUUAAGAUAUGAGCAUUUAAAAUUGGAGGAAAUUUUUGGGUUAAGGUCUACAGAAAUUGAUCAAUUCAUGUUCAAAGUCACCCCAUCAACAUGUGACAGCCAUCCCAAAUCUCACACAUGCGGUAGCGUCCCACUAACAAAUUCAUAGUGUGUGUAGUGCAGAUGGUACAUGAAGACACUUAUACAUAUUAAUCCAACUAGACCUAACCAAGUAAUGAAAAUUAUUCUACAACUUAUCAAUUUUAGCUCCUACAUGAUACAACGUGCAAGCUCUAAGUCAUGUGUCAUGUUGUAGAAAUUUUCAUAACCAACUAUUUUUGUCUUUUUCAAUGUUUUUGUGUUUUUUGUUUUUCUUAAAAUGAAUGCUCCACACACAAAAUAAAAUAAAGUCAAGCACACAAAGAUAAAAAUAAACAUGCAUGAGCCAAAACUCGUAGGUGAAAAUGCAUAUGCAUGAAAAACAACAAAACAAAAAUAAACAAUAUACAUAUGAUGCAUGCAACAACUAUAUGUCAAUUAAGAACCAAGCACGCAUAAAAAAUACCUAAUCAAGUAGGUAUAUAAGUUAUCUUUCCUUUAAGAGCACCACGAUCUCUAACCAAAUUUGGGAGAUUGUUUUUCUUUACCCAAACCUGUCUAGAGCGAGGAUUAUUUCCAGACAAAUGUGUCACCAAUUGAGUAAAACGAUUCACUUGAUCGGUAAGGAAUCCAAUCUGACCAACAGACACCUAAUUUUUGUUCUUUUUUGAGCUCAAGUCUUUCUUAUUGUUCAGGUAGUGAUGACAUUUAGGGCGGAUGUGACCUAACUCUCUACAGUGAAAACAUGUAGGAUAAACCUAGGACCUGCGAUAUGCUUACGCUGAUUUCUAUUCCUAGGCCGACGGGUCCUAUGACGUUUGGUAGACCUACGUCCUGAAGUUUCCACAACAUUUGGUAUGGGAUUAGUCACAAUGUUUGGCUGGUCAGUAACAUGAACAAAGGUGGUCUGUGAUGUACUAGCAACAUUCAGAUCAAAACCUAGACCUCCUUUAUUACCAGUAGGCUUGCCUAUUCCUAGAAUAUUAUCUAGCCUUUCAAAAUUGCUAGAAAAGGCAAGUAACUGAGACCUAGACAACUCCUGCUCACUCUCAAGGUGUUUAACCUGAAUAGCUAAGGUCUCAUUCACAAUGAUUAGCUCACUUACUCUUAAGAGGACAACUCAUUCUUACUGGUGAGAUCACUAACACGGGCCUCUAACUGUUCCUUCUCUAGCUUAAGCUCUUUCACUUUCUUGCUCAUUGCCUGGUUAGUGGCUAAGAUCUUGAGGCUUUCCUCAUACAUCCUAUCAUAGGCUGUUUCUAGAUCAUCCACACUUCCACUCUCAUCACCAGAAUCUUCACUACUAUCUAAGUCCUCAGUCCUUUCACUCCCUUGAUCGGAUCCACUUUUACCCCUAGCAACGAAGGUCACAUAUUUUCCACUCUCCUCACGGGUAAAUUUCUCACUCUGAUUUUCUGAGCUAGACUCGUCAUCAGUGAGAGUAGUAUUCAUAGCUUUCUCUUCAAAUCUUUUAGCACUAGGGCACUCAUUCCUCAAAUGAUCGAAAUCGAGAUAGUUAUGGGAUCUCACGGAUUUAGAUUUCGUCCUAGAUUCACUCGGGCCACCUCUUUGUCUCUCUUAAGGCUUCUUCUUAUUCCUAAACAUUUUUUGGAAUUUUUUAGUUAGGUAGGCCAUCUCCUUAUCAUUGGGUGAAUCAGAAUCAGAAGAUUCCAUCCGAAUAUUCCUAGCGAUUUUUAAGGCUAUGGAUUUUUCCUUAUUUGGAUUGUCUAAGGUCAAUUCAUAGGUCUAGAGGGAUCCAACUAACUCAUCUACCUUGAUAGUGUCUAUGUCCUUAUUCUCCUCAAUUGCCGUAACUUUAGGCCUAAAACGCUCAGGUAAGGAUCUAAGAAUCUUUUUCAUUAUCUUAGGCUCAGGGAUUUUCUCACCUAGGUUGAAGGACGAAUUUACUAUGUCAUUUAAGCUUGCAGAAAAGACAUCAAACAUCUCAUCGUCUCUUAUUCUUAUCUCUUCAAACCUAGUGGCCAACAUCUGCAGCUUAGAACUUUUAACUGCCUGAAUUCCCUCAUGUGUAGUUUCUAAAAUACCUCAAACUUCCUUUGCUACCUCACACAUGGACACUCUCUUAAACUCCUUGAGGAAAACUGCCAUAAAUAGGGCAUGGAGGGCUUUGCUAUUUAAAUUACAGCUAUCCAAUUGAGCUCUAGACCAGCUCUCGACAGGGGUGGGAGUGACUACACCAUCUAUUGUGAUACUAGUGGCUAACUAACCAUUUAUCACAAUCUGUCAAACACGCUCAUCUAAGGAUUUAAAAAACGCCCUCAUUCUCACUUUCCAAUACGCAUAAUUGUUCCCAUCAAAGUGGGGUGACACAUUCAUCGACAUACUCAUCUAGGCUAAUGUAAGGUCAGGAUUCGCACUUAGGCUCUGAUACCACUUGAAAGUUUAGGGAACGUUCUACAACCACUUGAAAAUUGACGGGAAUGCUUUACUAUGUCAAAUUCAAAUUUUAGCAUUACCAAGUUUACAUUCCAAUUUACCGUUUGACCUUACGCACGGAAUUAAUACAAUUAAUUGUAACAAGUCACAAAUUAAUUGUUGUCGAUGCGAUUAAAUAUACACGUCCAAUUAAGCCUAUGUUGAAUUGUCGAUUUGCGUAAAUUAAAUAAAAUAGUAACAACACCAACUCACAAUAUGAUGAUGGAGAAACCCCAACGUGGGUAAAACUUCGAGACCAAGCCAGUAGUUUCCACUAUACCAAUCCAGCCAAUACAAGUUAUGCCAAACUCCGUACCAAGUCAGAACCGCUAUUCCAGUCCCACGAUCUACUGUCGUAGAUACUGCUAGUCUCCUGCUAUCUUCCCGAUCUACCUCCUACAGCUCAAUCUGCUGUCCAAUACAGCUUCCUGGUCUCUAGCUGAUUGUAUCACCAAGUGAAAUUCCAAGAACCUCCUGUUCUUGUCCAGUUCCUACGCUUGUCGUCCACCUCUCUCAAUCUUCCAAUGAGAGAGUCCGUU
This 11319-nucleotide long non-coding RNA is filed under the name Olea europaea (common olive). RNAcentral's name for it is "long non-coding RNA (OEUR_LNC000041)". Lineage: Eukaryota; Viridiplantae; Streptophyta; Magnoliopsida; Lamiales; Oleaceae. The record is from RNAcentral.